RNAcentral lists this ribosomal RNA (492 nucleotides) under uncultured bacterium. Its description in RNAcentral is "partial 16S ribosomal RNA". It matches the Rfam family "Bacterial small subunit ribosomal RNA", at positions 29 to 507 of the family's 1533-position model. The record is from RNAcentral.
AGUGAACGCUGGCGGUAGGCCUAACACAUGCAAGUCGAACGGCAGCACAGUAAGAGCUUGCUCUUACGGGUGGCGAGUGGCGGACGGGUGAGGAAUACAUCGGCAUCUACUUUUUCGUGGGGGAUAACGUAGGGAAACUUACGCUAAUACCGCAUACGACCUACGGGUGAAAGCAGGGGAUCUUCGGACCUUGCGCGAUUGAAUGAGCCGAUGUCGGAUUAGCUAGUUGGCGGGGUAAAGACCCACCAAGGCGACGAUCCGUAGCUGGUCUGAGAGGAUGAUCAGCCACACUGGAACUGAGACACGGUCCAGACUCCUACGGGAGGCAGCAGUGGGGAAUAUUGGACAAUGGGCGCAAGCCUGAUCCAGCCAUACCGCGUGGGUGAAGAAGGCCUUCGGGUUGUAAAGCCCUUUUGUUGGGAAAGAAAAGCAGCAGGUUAAUACCCCGCUGUUCUGACGGUACCCAAAGAAUAAGCACCGGCUAACUUCGUG